GUCCCCAGUCAUACCACCUAGAGCUCACCCAGUCUCUUGGAAGUUCGGUGGGGUCAGGCAUGGCUAGUACUUGAUUGGGAGACUGCCAGGGACGAUCAGGUGCUGUAGGCU
Molecule: ribosomal RNA, 111 nt
Filed under: Mus pahari (shrew mouse)
Lineage: Eukaryota; Metazoa; Chordata; Mammalia; Rodentia; Muridae
Description: rRNA (MGP_PahariEiJ_G0032629.1)
Source: RNAcentral